This 442-nucleotide ribosomal RNA is filed under the name uncultured bacterium. RNAcentral's name for it is "partial 16S ribosomal RNA". It matches the Rfam family "Bacterial small subunit ribosomal RNA", at positions 338 to 795 of the family's 1533-position model. The record is from RNAcentral.
CCUACGGGAGGCAGCAGUGGGGAAUAUUGGGCAAUGGGCGCAAGCCUGACCCAGCAACGCCGCGUGAAGGAAGAAGGCCUUCGGGUUGUAAACUUCUUUUGUCAGGGAAGAGUAGAAGACGGUACCUGACGUAUAAGCCACGGCUAACUACGUGCCAGCAGCCGUGGUAAUACGUAGGUGGCAAGCGGUGUCCGGAUUUACUGGGUGUAAAGGGCGUGUAGCCGGGUUGACAAGUCAGAUGUGAAAUCCUGCGGCUUAACCGCAGAACUGCAUUUGAAACUGUUGAUCUUGAGUACUGGAGAGGCAGACGGAAUUCCUAGUGUAGCGGUGAAAUGCGUAGAUAUUAGGAAGAACACCAGAGGCGAAGGCGGUCUGCUGGACAGCAACUGACGGUGAGGCGCGAAAGCGUGGGGAGCAAACAGGAUUAGAUACCCUUGUAGUC